This 651-nucleotide long non-coding RNA is filed under the name Vigna radiata. Its description in RNAcentral is "long non-coding RNA (VRAD_LNC001059)". Lineage: Eukaryota; Viridiplantae; Streptophyta; Magnoliopsida; Fabales; Fabaceae. The record is from RNAcentral.
UUAACAAUUCCGCUGCAACCGAUUCUAACAAAUUGCUCUUCUGUGGUGGAACAACAACAUCCUCUUCUUCAUCAGUAAGCUCAAUUUCAUCAUCCCUGUGAACUUUGAUUCUCUCUUAAUAGGGAGGACACUGCUUAUUUUCUAAAGGUAACACAGUUACUUCAUCAACCUCUUUUUCCGUGUAAUUCUCCUCUUCUUCAUCUUUACUGCUCAUGGGUUCAAAGAAUUCACCCAUUAACAUCUCCUCUUCUUCACUGUUCACAACAUGGAACAUGGAAUGGUUCAAUAUCUUCCUCCUAACCAUCCUGACUGUCUGCGUCCCAACCACUCUGGCUUGUAAUAAUCUUGUAUCCUCUUAGGGUUAGCUUCAGUGCUAGCCCUAAACUGGGUUUUCUCUGUAAUUUCUAUCCUUGUUACCAGCUGCCCAAUUUGUGACUCCAGUGAUUUAAAGUUAGCCUGAUUGUUAUUCACCUGCUGCUCAUAUCUUUUGUAGAAGUCAUCAAAUUGACUACUCAAGGUCCUGACAGACUCAGUCAAAUUACUCAUUUGCUGCCACAGAGGUAAUGGUUGUUGCUGCCGGAAGUUUCCUCCUUGUCCAGAAGAAGUAUUCUGGCUCUGCCCAAUACUUGGAUGAUUUUUCCAACCUUGGUU